GUUUGAUCCUGGCUCAGGACGAACGCUGGCGGCAUGCCUAAUACAUGCAAGUCGAACGCCAAAUCUUCCUGCUUGCAGGAAGAGGCGGAGUGGCGAACGGGUGAGUAACACGUGAGGAACUUGCCCAUAAGAGGGGGAUAACACCCGGAAACGGGUGCUAAUACCGCAUAGGUUUUCCCAGUGCAUGCUGGGAAAAUAAAAGGUGGCUCUGCUACCGCUUAUGGAUAGCCUCGCGGCGCAUUAGCUAGUUGGUAGGGUAAAGGCCUACCAAGGCCAUGAUGCGUAGCCGACUUGAGAGGGUGAUCGGCCACACUGGAACUGAGACACGGUCCAGACUCCUACGGGAGGCAGCAGUAGGGAAUCUUCCACAAUGGGUGCAAGCCUGAUGGAGCAAUGCCGCGUGAGUGAAGAAGGACUUCGGUUCGUAAAGCUCUGUUGUCGGGGAAGAACACGGAUAGGAGUCACUGCCUAUCCCUUGACGGUACCCAACCAGAAAGUCACGGCUAACUACGUGCCAGCAGCCGCGGUAAUACGUAGGUGACAAGCGUUGUCCGGAUUUAUUGGGCGUAAAGCGAGCGCAGGCGGUCCGGUAAGUCUGAUGUGAAAGCCCACGGCUCAACCGUGGAACGGCAUUGGAAACUGGCGGACUUGAAUGUAGCAGAGGAAAGUGGAAUUCCAUGUGUAGCGGUGGAAUGCGUAGAUAUAUGGAGGAACACCAGUGGCGAAAGCGACUUUCUGGGCUAUGAUUGACGCUGAGGCUCGAAAGCGUGGGGAGCGAACAGGAUUGGAUAG
Molecule: ribosomal RNA, 792 nt
Filed under: uncultured Alloiococcus sp.
Lineage: Bacteria; Bacillati; Bacillota; Bacilli; Lactobacillales; Carnobacteriaceae
Description: bacterial SSU rRNA
Rfam family: Bacterial small subunit ribosomal RNA
Source: RNAcentral